RNAcentral lists this non-coding RNA (21 nucleotides) under Caenorhabditis elegans. Lineage: Eukaryota; Metazoa; Nematoda; Chromadorea; Rhabditida; Rhabditidae. The record is from RNAcentral.
UUCAAUUCUAAGGGCUUUGAA